RNAcentral lists this ribosomal RNA (746 nucleotides) under uncultured Parvimonas sp. RNAcentral describes it as "bacterial SSU rRNA". It matches the Rfam family "Bacterial small subunit ribosomal RNA", at positions 28 to 776 of the family's 1533-position model. Lineage: Bacteria; Bacillati; Bacillota; Tissierellia; Tissierellales; Peptoniphilaceae. The record is from RNAcentral.
GACGAACGCUGGCGGCGUGCUUAACACAUGCAAGUCGAACGUGAUUUUUGUGGAAAGCCCUUCGGGGACGGAAGCGAAAUGAAAGUGGCGAACGGGUGAGUAACACGUGAGCAACCUACCUUACACAGGGGGAUAGCCGUUGGAAACGACGAUUAAUACCGCAUGAGACCACAAAGCCACAUGGCUUAGGGGUAAAAGAUUUAUCGGUGUAAGAUGGGCUCGCGUCUGAUUAGCUAGUUGGAAGGGUAAAGGCCUACCAAGGCAACGAUCAGUAGCCGGUCUGAGAGGAUGAACGGCCACAUUGGAACUGAGACACGGUCCAAACUCCUACGGGAGGCAGCAGUGGGGAAUAUUGCACAAUGGGGGGAACCCUGAUGCAGCGACGCCGCGUGAGCGAAGAAGGUUUUCGAAUCGUAAAGCUCUGUCCUAUGAGAAGAUAAUGACGGUAUCAUAGGAGGAAGCCCCGGCUAAAUACGUGCCAGCAGCCGCGGUAAUACGUAUGGGGCGAGCGUUGUCCGGAAUUAUUGGGCGUAAAGGGUACGUAGGCGGCCUAUUAAGUCAGGUGUGAAAGCGUGAGGCUUAACCUCAUUAAGCACUUAAAACUGGAAGGCUUGAGUGAAGGAGAGGAAAGUGGAAUUCCUAGUGUAGCGGUGAAAUGCGUAGAUAUUAGGAGGAAUACCGGUGGCGAAGGCGACUUUCUGGACUUUUACUGACGCUCAGGUACGAAAGCGUGGGGAGCAAACAGG